AGUGAACGCUGGCGGUAGGCCUAACACAUGCCAGUCGAACGGCAGCACCGUAAGAGCUUGCUCUUAGGGGUGGCGCGUGGCGGACGGGUGAGGAAUACACCGGAAUCUACUUUUUCGGGGGUGAUAACGUAGGAAAAUUUACGCUAAUACCGCAUACGACCUACGGGUGAAAGCAGGGGAUCUUCUGACUUUUUGGUAGUGAAUGAGCCUAUGUAGGAUUAGCUGGUUGGCGGGGUAAAGGGCCAGCAAGGCGACGAUCCGUAUAAGGUCUGAGAGCAUGAUUCGACACCCUGGAAGUGAGGCAGGGCAGAGACUCUUGCGGGAGGCAGCGGUCGAGAAUAUUGCGCAAUGGGCGAAAGCCUGAUCCAGGCCUAUCGCGUGGAUGAAGAAGGCGCUAGGGUUGUAAAGCCAUUUUGUUGGGAGAGAAGAGAAGCACGUUAAUCCCCCGCUGUAAUGACGGUACCCAAAGAAUAAGCACCGGCUAACUUCGUG
This 492-nucleotide ribosomal RNA is filed under the name uncultured bacterium. RNAcentral's name for it is "partial 16S ribosomal RNA". It matches the Rfam family "Bacterial small subunit ribosomal RNA", at positions 29 to 507 of the family's 1533-position model. The record is from RNAcentral.